Molecule: ribosomal RNA, 654 nt
Filed under: Triticum aestivum (bread wheat)
Lineage: Eukaryota; Viridiplantae; Streptophyta; Magnoliopsida; Poales; Poaceae
Description: partial small subunit ribosomal RNA
Source: RNAcentral
AUGCUUGCAUCCAGAAUGCCCGGUGAUCUCAUUGACGAGUACGUCUGUAUGAGUGAGUCUACAUGCCUAGAGUCCCCGUAUAAGUUCUGCAAGGUUGUUAUUGCUGUGUUUGACCCUGAGUACUUGAGAGAGCCGACAGCUAAAGAUACAGCCCGUUUGUUGGCGAUAAAUGCCAGAAGGGGCUUCCCAGGGAUGCUUGGCAGCAUAGACUGUAUGCAUUGGGAGUGGAAGAACUGUCCUUCUGCUUGGCAAGGGCAGUAUAAGGGACAUGUCAGGGCUUGCACUGUCAUAGUAGAGGCCGUGGCGUCUCAAGAUCUCUGGAUCUGCAUGGCUGGAUCACACAAUGAUAUCAACGUGCUUCAGCGCUCGCUGGUGUUUGCUAGGCUUGCCGAAGGCAACAGCCCACCAGUGAACUUUACUGUCAACGGCCACAACUACGACAAAGGAUACUACCUGGCUGACGGUAUCUAUCCUCAGUGGACCACUAUUGUCAAGACAAUACCCAACCCUGUCGGAGAGAAGAGGAAAAGAUUUGCCCAAGAGCAAGAGAGUGCUAGGAAGGAUGUUGAGCGUGCCUUUGGUGUUUUGCAAUCUCGAUGGGGCAUCGUUCGUAUCCUGCUAAUACCUGGAGCACGCAGAAACUAUGGGAGGUGA